Long non-coding RNA from Galleria mellonella (greater wax moth), 236 nucleotides. RefSeq lists it as uncharacterized. Lineage: Eukaryota; Metazoa; Arthropoda; Insecta; Lepidoptera; Pyralidae. The transcript has 3 exons. The record is from RefSeq and is a predicted model, not a curated record.
CCUAGACUGACGCAGAGAGUACAGUGUAAUUAAUAGGCAGAGACAACUCAUUCGCUAAUCUAGAGUAUACAAUCAUGGAAUCGAGCUGGGAGGCGGCGCUGGCAGCCUCUCCUCUAUCGAUUACCGAGAGUCGGUAAUCGAGUGAUGGCUACAAGGUAUCAAACAUAAAUAUCAUGCAGAGCUCCUGGCCAUUAAGCAUGCUUGCGAAUGGGUUCUCAAAAGUGAGCAUACUCCGG